GGGGUUGUGGCUCAGUGAUAGAGUGCUUGCCUGGCAUGUGUGAGGCCCUGGGUUCGAUUCUGAGCACCACCU
Molecule: non-coding RNA, 72 nt
Organism: Ictidomys tridecemlineatus (thirteen-lined ground squirrel)
Lineage: Eukaryota; Metazoa; Chordata; Mammalia; Rodentia; Sciuridae
Source: Rfam